GACGAACGCGGCGGCGUGCCUAAUACAUGCAAGUAGAACGCUGAAGGAGGAGCUUGCUUCUCUGGAUGAGUUGCGAACGGGUGAGUAACGCGUAGGUAACCUGCCUGGUAGCGGGGGAUAACUAUUGGAAACGAUAGCUAAUACCGCAUAAUAGCAGUUGUUGCAUGACAACUGUUUGAAAGAUGCAAUUGCAUCACUACCAGAUGGACCUGCGUUGUAUUAGCUAGUUGGUGGGGUAACGGCUCACCAAGGCGACGAUACAUAGCCGACCUGAGAGGGUGAUCGGCCACACUGGGACUGAGACACGGCCCAGACUCCUACGGGAGGCAGCAGUAGGGAAUCUUCGGCAAUGGACGGAAGUCUGACCGAGCAACGCCGCGUGAGUGAAGAAGGUUUUCGGAUCGUAAAGCUCUGUUGUAAGAGAAGAACGAGUGUGAGAGUGGAAAGUUCACACUGUGACG
Molecule: ribosomal RNA, 461 nt
Filed under: Streptococcus mitis
Lineage: Bacteria; Bacillati; Bacillota; Bacilli; Lactobacillales; Streptococcaceae
Description: bacterial SSU rRNA
Rfam family: Bacterial small subunit ribosomal RNA
Source: RNAcentral